This 506-nucleotide ribosomal RNA is filed under the name uncultured bacterium. RNAcentral's name for it is "partial 16S ribosomal RNA". It matches the Rfam family "Bacterial small subunit ribosomal RNA", at positions 30 to 523 of the family's 1533-position model. The record is from RNAcentral.
AUUGAACGCUGGCGGCAGGCCUAACACAUGCAAGUCGAGCGGCAGCGGAAAGUAGCUUGCUACUUUGCCGGCGAGCGGCGGACGGGUGAGUAAUGUCUGGGAAACUGCCUGAUGGAGGGGGAUAACUACUGGAAACGGUAGCUAAUACCGCAUAAUGUCGCAAGGCCAAAGAGGGGGACCUUCGGGCCUCUUGCCAUCAGAUGUGCCCAGAUGGGAUUAGCUAGUAGGUGGGGUAACGGCUCACCUAGGCGACGAUCCUUAGCUGGUCUGAGAGGAUGACCAGCCACACUGGAACUGAGACGCGGUCCAGACUCCUACGGGAGUCAGCAGUGGGGAAUAUUGCACAAUGGGCGCAAGCCUGAUGCAGCCAUGCCGCGUGUAUGAAGAAGGCCUUCGGGUUGUAAAGUACUUUCAGCGGGGAGGAAGGUGUUGAGGUUAAUAACCUCAGCAAUUGACGUUACCCGCAGAAGAAGCACCGGCUAACUCCGUGCCAGCAGCCGCGGUAA